This is a non-coding RNA of Megalobrama amblycephala (Wuchang bream), 609 nucleotides long. Lineage: Eukaryota; Metazoa; Chordata; Actinopteri; Cypriniformes; Xenocyprididae. The record is from the annotation of a RefSeq genome assembly.
CUUUGCAUUGUCACACAUGCUUCAGUGCUCUGAGAGUGUUUAUAGUGCUGUGAGUUUAACACUUCAUGACUGAGAGCAGAACAGAACACAAUCUUCAUCAUCACACAAGACAAAAGAACAACAAUGAACACAAUCACCUUCUUCAUCUGGACUCUCACACUGUUUGCUCAAGAGUGUAGAGGACAGAUCACUGUAACUCAGAGUCCAUCAACAAUAACAGCUCAUCCAGGACAAGAAGUCAGAAUAAACUGUAAAACCAGCAGUGCAGUGUAUAGUAGUAAUUACUUACACUGGUACUUACAGAAGCCUGGAGAAGCUCCUAAACUCCUGAUUUACUAUAUAAACAGACUCCAGUCAGGAACUCCAUCUAGAUUCAGUGGCAGUGGAUCUGGCAGUGAUUUCACUCUGACCAUCAGUGGAGUCCAGACUGAAGAUACAGGAGAUUAUUACUGUCAGAGUUUACACUGUCCUAGUAGCUGUGUGUUCACACAGUGAUAAAGAGUGGUACAAAAACCUCGGUCAGUCAGACGUCACAGUGAUGCACUGAUACAGCUGAGAGAUACUGCAGCUGCUGAUGGAGGAUCACAAACAACACAAUGCUGUAUCAAA